UAUUUUGCAAGUAAAAAGUGCAGAGAAAUGCAAUGACUUUUUACAUAGUCUUGCAGCCCACUUCUUAUUUUAUUUAGUUAUUUGAUAAUGCAUUCUUUAAUCGAUAGCUUUCUCCAGUAAAACUAACAAUAUGCGCAUGGUGAAUCAGCCGAUCUACUAAUGCUGCUGUUAAUCUUGGAUCAAUAAAUACCUUAUUCCACUGACUAAAUUCCAAGUUGCUCGUGAUAAUAAUACUCUUAGUUUCAUACCAGUCACUUAUGAGUUGAAAUAAUAAUUCUGAUCCUGUUUUACUGAAUGGUACAUAUCCCAUUUCAUCUAAUAUGAUCAGCUGAUACUUGUGGCAUUUCUUUUUGAAACGUUCUAUUGAGAGACUUUUCCAUUCUUGUUCCAACUGAUCUACUAGUUCUGCUACCCGCCAGAAUUUUACAUUAAUGCCGUUUUCGAUUGCUUUAACUCCUAAUGCAGUUGCUAAGUGAGUUUUACCUGUUCCAGGUGUACCAACGAAAACGGCGUUUUCGUUUUUAUCAAUAAAGCUUAAAUUCAGUAAUUGUUGCUUAGAAUCUGGUGUCGAAAAAUUGAUUUGUUCACGCCAAAUAUAAUCGUUUAAGGUUUUUCGUUUUGGAAAUUUUGCUUGGUUAUAAAGCCUGGUAAUCUUCUUAUCGUACCUAAUCUCAAUUUCCUUUUUAAGUAGGCCUAAAAGCCAUGCCGAUUUAUCAUCUUCAGGGAAUUGAUUUAACUUUGCUAUAUUAGCCAUAUUUGAUAAUCGCAAUUCUGUACAUGCUUUGGCUAGUUCUUGAUUAUUCAAUUAAGUGACCUACUUUCUGUCUCUUGCUAGUUGAUCGUAACUUUUCAUAUUGACACUGAGCUCUUCCGAAGUUGGUGAAAUCCCGACUAGCUCGUAAAACCGUUCAUUGAUCUCUUUCAAUGGAUGAGUGCUUAAGAGUGUUAUUAGUUCGUCUAUUCGGUCGGUUUGUAACCGCCAGUCUUCUGUUGAAAGAUAGUAAGCAAUUCGUUUGGGAAGGUAUUUCCAGUAUCUAGAAUAGGUCAUUGACCGUGGCUUCCUCUUCCAAGUAAUAAAAACGCUUGACCACUCAAUAGCGCGUUUCUUAGUUAGGUAAGGGCGUCGCCCUUUACUAACAAUUUCGCCAUUUAGAUCAUAAAUUGUAUAACUGGUUGCGGUAAGAACGCAGGUUAAUGAAAGCAUUGUUUUAGCCAUUGGAAUAUGUAUCCUGGUUUUAUCAAUUGUUACUUCGUUAUACCGGUUUGGUUUAACUUCAAAUUGCUUAAAAACUGGAUAAUCUAUAUCAGGC
RNAcentral lists this ribosomal RNA (1310 nucleotides) under Limosilactobacillus vaginalis DSM 5837 = ATCC 49540. RNAcentral's name for it is "Lactobacillus vaginalis DSM 5837 = ATCC 49540 16S ribosomal RNA". Lineage: Bacteria; Bacillati; Bacillota; Bacilli; Lactobacillales; Lactobacillaceae. The record is from RNAcentral.